Non-coding RNA from Punica granatum (pomegranate), 528 nucleotides. Lineage: Eukaryota; Viridiplantae; Streptophyta; Magnoliopsida; Myrtales; Lythraceae. The record is from RefSeq and is a predicted model, not a curated record.
UGCUCCGCUACAAGGAGAAGAAAAAGACUCGUAGAUACGAUAAGCACAUAAGGUACGAGUCGAGAAAAGCAAGAGCUGACACAAGGAAACGGGUGAAGGGCCGAUUCGUUAAGUCUACUGAAGCCUCUGAUGGUUGAGUCAUCCGCACCAGCAGGUCACGUGCUGGAGUUCAUACUUACUGGCUCUACGUAAAGAGUUGGUGGACUGGGUUUUUGGGCCCUUGUUGGGCCUUACUGGGCCUCAACACGGGUACUGGGGAGAAAUCCCUCCCAACGAAAGAUCCUCAGAUCAUUCCCCUCAUGGGGGCUGAUGAGCUGUUCCUGCCUUACCAAGUUGCCUGGUUGUUGUGCUCUUUUUUGUUAUGUGAGCAAAGCGUGAAAUUUCUUCUGGCAUUUGUCAAGAGGGCAAGUAGAGUUCCAGGUCGUUCCCGCACAAUCAAGGCCCUUUUGACUUAAAGUUCUCGAAUACAUUUGGAUCAUUUAUAUAUCGGUUACCCUCGACCACACUCGUUAAAAAAUGAAAUUGUGA